GUGUUAUUUUCCCGCUUCAGAAGAAGCGUCCAACGUGUUUUCACGCUUUCUCCGAGACAUGUCACGUCGCUAAGUUGUUAGCGCCGCGCGCUAACAUGUCAAUAGUGCAGCGUAGCCUGCUGGAGGUUUUAAGGGUUCAGAUGAAAACACCCGACCUCUCAGGCUGCUCACACAUCGAUCUUAAGUUGUAGCUGUUGUGCUCACGCCGUAAUACAGUAUUAGAUGCGGUUAAAGUCAGACAUGAAAAAAUAAAUAAAUUUUACAUGAAUAAGUGAUGCUUAGCCUGGUGGGGGGAGGAGAACCUGGCCUAAUAAGCACUGGAGGAAACCCUGUCAAGAUCGUCAACACUCGUUUAUCUUAAUGCUAUUGAAACAUGUAAACCAAAAGGCAUUAUCUCCACUGCUACCUUUCUAAUUUUAAACUCAGUAACUUAUGCUGUAACUUCACCUUGCCCUGCCUGCUCCUCCUUGCUGCCCGCCGGCUGUGAUCACAAGAGACAACAUAGUAGUUCCCGCUGCUUCUUCGGGAAACAGCGCAAAAAACAAAAAAAACUUGGGUUCUUGUAGGUGGGACUAGUCCCUAGCGUAUCUAGUAGUAAUGCCGGUAAAGGUGCUAUUCCUCAGUAAGCAGCGCCAGCCUUUCAGUUACGGCGCCAGCUCAUCAUUAAUCAGGUCGGCAGUUUGCUUCAGAAUUUAUAUAGCCUCCUGCUGCUGGGCAGUAGUCUUCAUUUUGUCUACACACCACGCCAUAGGUCAAGGACAGAUGGACAAGGACCCAAAGAAGAUCCUGAUGCUCCAAACUUCAACCUCAUAUUCCAAAUGCCGCGCAUUUCCGCCUCUGUGACUCUUCAAUGCUGCAAACCCUCUGGUGAAUUUGGAGGAUCGGACCAUCAAUCAGAUGUUUUAACAGCACAGCUGAGGCCAAGGUGAGUGAGCAGCAAAGCAGGUGACCCUACGUGGGCACGCUCGUGACCCCAUCAUUCCUCAAACAUCUCUGUCCCACCAAAAAAAGCACAGCAGGACCCCAUAGAGGCCAGUUUUUUUUUUACCUUCCUCAUACGGCCUGCUGUAUGUCAUCACUGCAAAUAUAUUUCUAAGGAUGAAAAGUAGUGGGACUGACAGAUAGUCAGUUAGUUAGUUAAUGAGUUAGUUAGCUUAACUAUGUGGUUUGUUUUAUACUGUGGUUCAUUACAAUAACAAUUAUGUUUUAAUUAAAAAAAAUUUAAUUAUAAAUUUUCAAAACUUUUUCAGAUAAGUCUGAACCUAAACUAAAACACUAAAAACUGUUUUGUUUUGCAUUUUUAUGGCAUGAAAGUUUGUAAACUUUGAUUUAAAGUCUCUAAACUUCAGGAAUACACUUCAUCAUUUGUUUAAAACUGUUUUGAUCCUUGCAACUGUGCAAAAAUAAACACAACAUAAGUAAAUAAAUACAUAGUUCUUCUGUGUUGUACACAAGAAGUUGUGUGUAUAGAUAAUGUAGAUAGUAAUAAAUAGUAUGUAUAUAGAACUAAAAUUAAGGAAUGGAAUAUAUCUGUAAAUGGUGUUAAAUUAUGGCCUUAAAGGGACAUUAUGGAAGUUUGACAGCCAAAACAUGUAUAGAAAUAAUAAAUUUCUUCUUCAUACAUUCUCCUGCAAUGCCCUGGUCCUGUAGAAUGAGCCCUGGCAUUUUUACUGUGAUUGCCUGUUUUUCUGUAAAAUCCAAGCCCCCACAAUGCGGCUCAAAAAUUUAGCCCAACCCGGCAGUACCAAAAAUUGCAGUUCCACCCUCAUCCACUGGGGGCUGGUGUCAGAAGCGAGCAAAUCCUCAUUGACUCCCAUGUUAAAAAUACCAAUUUCACAGCAGAAAUAAACAUGUUUACAGCCUGGUACCAAAACAUGUUUUUUGUUUAAAUGAUCUAGUUUACACUCAUGACAACUCUGAGGGGGGUGAAUUUUUU
This is a long non-coding RNA of Nothobranchius furzeri (turquoise killifish), 1936 nucleotides long. NCBI's taxonomy places the organism in Eukaryota, Metazoa, Chordata, Actinopteri, Cyprinodontiformes, Nothobranchiidae. The record is from Ensembl.